This 74-nucleotide transfer RNA is filed under the name Longimicrobium terrae. It matches the Rfam family "tRNA". From Rfam's summary of the family: Transfer RNA (tRNA) molecules are approximately 80 nucleotides in length. Lineage: Bacteria; Pseudomonadati; Gemmatimonadota; Longimicrobiia; Longimicrobiales; Longimicrobiaceae. The record is from Rfam by way of RNAcentral. RNAcentral also lists the same sequence under 12 other names.
CGGGACGUGGCGCAGCCCGGUAGCGCACCUGAAUGGGGUUCAGGGGGUCGCCGGUUCAAAUCCGGCCGUCCCGA